This 772-nucleotide ribosomal RNA is filed under the name uncultured bacterium. Its description in RNAcentral is "bacterial SSU rRNA". It matches the Rfam family "Bacterial small subunit ribosomal RNA", at positions 22 to 796 of the family's 1533-position model. The record is from RNAcentral.
GCUCAGGAUGAACGCUGGCGGCGUGCCUAACACAUGCAAGUCGAGCGGACCAAUGCCCAUUUCAGCUUUACUGAUUUGAGCAACGGUUAGCGGCGGACGGGUGAGUAACGCGUGGGCAACCUGCCCUGUGCAGGGGGAUAACACAGCGAAAGCUGUGCUAAUACCCCAUAAGACUACGCUAUCGCAUGAUAGAGUAGUCAAAGCUUUAGCGGCACAGGAUGGGCCCGCGUCUGAUUAGCUAGUUGGUGGGGUAACGGCCUACCAAGGCGACGAUCAGUAGCCGACCUGAGAGGGUGAUCGGCCACACUGGAACUGAGACACGGUCCAGACUCCUACGGGAGGCAGCAGUGGGGAAUAUUGCACAAUGGGGGAAACCCUGAUGCAGCAACGCCGCGUGAGCGAAGAAGGCCUUCGGGUCGUAAAGCUCUGUCCUAAGGGAAGAAGUAUGACGGUACCUUAGGAGGAAGCCCCGGCUAACUACGUGCCAGCAGCCGCGGUAAUACGUAGGGGGCGAGCGUUAUCCGGAAUCACUGGGCGUAAAGGGUGCGUAGGCGGCCGAGUAAGCCAGGGGUGAAAGGCUACGGCUUAACCGUAGUAAGCCUUUGGAACUACUUGGCUUGAGUGCAGGAGAGGAGAGUGGAAUUCCUAGUGUAGCGGUGAAAUGCGUAGAUAUUAGGAGGAACACCAGUGGCGAAGGCGACUCUCUGGACUGUAACUGACGCUGAGGCACGAAAGCGUGGGGAGCAAACAGGAUUAGAUACCCUGGUAGUCC